RNAcentral lists this ribosomal RNA (253 nucleotides) under uncultured bacterium. RNAcentral's name for it is "partial 16S ribosomal RNA". It matches the Rfam family "Bacterial small subunit ribosomal RNA", at positions 524 to 776 of the family's 1533-position model. The record is from RNAcentral.
UACGUAGGGGGCAAGCGUUGUCCGGAUUUAUUGGGCGUAAAGAGCGUGUAGGCGGCUUUACAGGUCCGUUGUGAAAACUCGAGGCUCAACCUCGAGACGCCGGUGGAAACCAUCAGGCUAGAGUCCGGAAGAGGAGAGUGGAAUUCCUGGUGUAGCGGUGAAAUGCGCAGAUAUCGGGAGGAACACCUGAGGCGAAGGCGGGCUACUGGGCCGAUACUGACGCUGAGGCGCGAAAGCCAGGGGAGCGAACGGG